GAAGAAAAGAACACAAGAGCACUGGAGGUGGAGGCAAAGGCACAUCUGAAGUGGACACGUUCAUGAGCGCAUCGCUUCCCAGGCACUGGGUGCUGUGGAAGUGCCUGCUCUGUGUUGUGCCUGCAGAGUUAUGCCAGGAAUGGGCCCAAAAAAGGGUGGAAAAGGAUUUCUGGGGAAGCAGCAAGAAAACAACAGGACUAUAACAGCCACAGCAUCGCAAGGCUUGGGCAUGAUGUGCUCAGCAGAGAUCUGAUCCUAUGGAGCAGAUGCCUGGGGCCCUUCCAAGAGCAUCCAUUGCAGCCCAAGCCCAUCCCUGCAGGACCACGAGCCACCUCAUCACCCCACUCCGGUCUCUAUCUGCCCAGCUGGCUGGAGGGACACAAGGAAAUGGAAUGUAGUUAAAUCCUAUGUGGUAUUUGCCUGGCUAGUAGCAAUUAAAUGUUAAUUAAUCGUUAAUUAAAGUUAGUUAAUUAAAGGUUAAUUUAAAAACCAUUUUCAAAGAAAUAAAACUUAGGGAUUUGAUGUGA
Molecule: long non-coding RNA, 527 nt
Organism: Pezoporus occidentalis (night parrot)
Lineage: Eukaryota; Metazoa; Chordata; Aves; Psittaciformes; Psittacidae
Exons: 2
Source: RefSeq, a predicted model, not a curated record